Molecule: transfer RNA, 72 nt
Filed under: Nanobdellota archaeon
Lineage: Archaea; Nanobdellati; Nanobdellota
Description: tRNA-Phe
Rfam family: tRNA
About the family: Transfer RNA (tRNA) molecules are approximately 80 nucleotides in length. Their secondary structure includes four short double-helical elements and three loops (D, anti-codon, and T loops). Further hydrogen bonds mediate the characteristic L-shaped molecular structure. tRNAs have two regions of fundamental functional importance: the anti-codon, which is responsible for specific mRNA codon recognition, and the 3' end, to which the tRNAs corresponding amino acid is attached (by aminoacyl-tRNA synthetases). tRNAs cope with the degeneracy of the genetic code in two manners: having more than one tRNA (with a specific anti-codon) for a particular amino acid; and 'wobble' base-pairing, i.e. permitting non-standard base-pairing at the 3rd anti-codon position.
Source: RNAcentral
GGGACGGUCGCCAAGUGGGAAGGCAAACGACUGAAGCUCGUUCAUUCGAGGGUUCGAUUCCCUCUCGUCCCA